GGUUACUGCUAUCGGUGUUCGCCUAAGCCAUGCGAGUCAUAUGUUCUUCGGAACAUGGCGUACUGCUCAGUAACACGUGGAUAACCUGCCCUUGGGUCCGGCAUAACCCCGGGAAACUGGGGAUAAUUCCGGAUAACGCACAUAUGCUGGAAUGCUUUAUGCGUCAAAUGGAUUCGUCCGCCCAAGGAUGGGUCUGCGGCCUAUCAGGUAGUAGUGGGUGUAAUGUACCUACUAGCCUACGACGGGUACGGGUUGUGAGAGCAAGAGCCCGGAGAUGGAUUCUGAGACAUGAAUCCAGGCCCUACGGGGCGCAGCAGGCGCGAAAACUUUACAAUGCGGGAAACCGUGAUAAGGGGACACCGAGUGCCAGCAUCAUAUGCUGGCUGUCCGGGUGUGUAAGAUACACCUGUUAGCAAGGGCCGGGCAAGACCGGUGCCAGCCGCCGCGGUAACACCGGCGGCCCGAGUGGUGAUCGUGAUUAUUGGGUCUAAAGGGUCCGUAGCCGGUUUGGUCAGUCCUCCGGGAAAUCUGACGGCUUAACCGUUAGGCUUUCGGGGGAUACUGCCAGACUUGGAACCGGGAGAGGUAAGAGGUACUACAGGGGUAGGAGUGAAAUCUUGUAAUCCCUGUGGGACCACCUGUGGCGAAGGCGUCUUACCAGAACGGGUUCGACGGUGAGGGACGAAAGCUGGGGGCACGAACCGGAUUAUAUACCCGGGUAGUCCCAGCCGUAAACGAUGCUCGCUAGGUGUCAGGCAUGGCGCGACCGUGUCUGGUGCCGCAGGGAAGCCGUGAAGCGAGCCACCUGGGAAGUACGGCCGCAAGGCUGAAACUUAA
RNAcentral lists this ribosomal RNA (837 nucleotides) under uncultured archaeon. Its description in RNAcentral is "bacterial SSU rRNA". It matches the Rfam family "Archaeal small subunit ribosomal RNA", at positions 21 to 859 of the family's 1478-position model. The record is from RNAcentral.